RNAcentral lists this ribosomal RNA (407 nucleotides) under uncultured bacterium. RNAcentral's name for it is "bacterial SSU rRNA". It matches the Rfam family "Bacterial small subunit ribosomal RNA", at positions 355 to 774 of the family's 1533-position model. The record is from RNAcentral.
UGGGGAAUAUUGCGCAAUGGGCGAAAGCCUGACGCAGCGACGCCGCGUGAGGGACGACGGCCUUCGGGUUGUAAACCUCUUUCAGCUCUGACGAAGCGAAAGUGACGGUAGGAGCAGAAGAAGCACCGGCCAACUACGUGCCAGCAGCCGCGGUAAUACGUAGGGUGCAAGCGUUGUCCGGAAUUAUUGGGCGUAAAGAGCUCGUAGGCGGUCUGUCGCGUCGAAUGUGAAAACCCGGGGCUCAACCCCGGGCCUGCAUUCGAUACGGGCAGACUAGAGUUCGGUAGGGGAGACUGGAAUUCCUGGUGUAGCGGUGAAAUGCGCAGAUAUCAGGAGGAACACCGGUGGCGAAGGCGGGUCUCUGGGCCGAUACUGACGCUGAGGAGCGAAAGCGUGGGGAGCGAACA